This is a long non-coding RNA of Antechinus flavipes (yellow-footed antechinus), 789 nucleotides long. RefSeq lists it as uncharacterized. The record is from RefSeq and is a predicted model, not a curated record. The transcript is spliced from 3 exons. Lineage: Eukaryota; Metazoa; Chordata; Mammalia; Dasyuromorphia; Dasyuridae.
AUAACCUCACUCCCACCCGGGAUGGGAAGCUAGGCUUGGGCCCGACUGCCUCCUGGUAGACUUCUUAUCCCCUGGCCCCCUGCCACCAGCACUUUCUUCCUCCAAAUCUCCUGAACACAGAAGUCCCCUCUCUUUCCUCCUCCCUUCACUCUCUAGAUCUUGGGUCGAGCAAAAAUUCUCUACCCAGAAUUCCAAGCCUUGAAGAACGCCAUGGCAAGCCCAUGGGCUCUCCUCGCCAUCAAACCUACGGCCCCCUUGCUUGACCCAGCUUUGUUCUAGUAUCUGCUCCAGGAGGUCUUGUCUCUCUAACCCGGAUCUAGCUGCGUGUGGAAGAGACGGCCCGGAUGGAGGCUUGGUCCUGGCCCUGCCCCUGCCCAGCUGAGACGGCCCUCUCUCUUCUUGGGCUCUUACAUCUUUACCUGUAGGAUCAGGGGGGUGAACUAAAUGGUCUCUCAGGCUGAGUGGAAUUUUAUGGCCCCUUCUGACCUUCCCACUAGAUGCAUGGGACUGGUCGCUUAACCUCUGUGUACCUCAGUUUCCUCAUCUGUAAAAUAUGAGCAGCAGCAGAAGGAUGAGCAGACCCGUGAUGAGCGUCAAGCAGAUCCAGACGAUGGUCCUGGUGUCAUAGCGGAGCCCUGCUACGGAGGCAGGAGACAGAGUCAGCUCGGGGGAGAAGGCUGAUUCAGCUGAGCCCAUCCAGCUGCCAUCUCCAAGGACCCCUGGGCUGUUUCCUUGGGAGCAAGCCUUCUCCCCUCGCCCAUUAGGGGCUCUAAAGCCCCCAGGAAGAGG